UGGGGAAUAUUGCACAAUGGGCGGAAGCCUGAUGCAGCGACGCCGCGUGAGGGAUGACGGCCUUCGGGUUGUAAACCUCUUUCAGUAGGGACGAAGCGUAAGUGACGGUACCUGCAGAAGAAGCACCGGCUAACUACGUGCCAGCAGCCGCGGUAAUACGUAGGGUGCGAGCGUUGUCCGGAAUUACUGGGCGUAAAGAGCUCGUAGGCGGUUUGUCACGUCGUCUGUGAAAUCCUAGGGCUUAACCCUGGACGUGCAGGCGAUACGGGCUGACUUGAGUACUACAGGGGAGACUGGAAUUUCUGGUGUAGCGGUGGAAUGCGCAGAUAUCAGGAGGAACACCGGUGGCGAAGGCGGGUCUCUGGGCCGUUACUGACGCUGAGGAGCGAAAGCGUGGGGAGCGAACAGG
This 409-nucleotide ribosomal RNA is filed under the name Verrucomicrobiota bacterium. RNAcentral describes it as "Verrucomicrobia bacterium partial 16S ribosomal RNA". It matches the Rfam family "Bacterial small subunit ribosomal RNA", at positions 355 to 776 of the family's 1533-position model. The record is from RNAcentral. Lineage: Bacteria; Pseudomonadati; Verrucomicrobiota.